RNAcentral lists this ribosomal RNA (252 nucleotides) under uncultured bacterium. Its description in RNAcentral is "partial 16S ribosomal RNA". It matches the Rfam family "Bacterial small subunit ribosomal RNA", at positions 524 to 777 of the family's 1533-position model. The record is from RNAcentral.
UACGUAGGUGGCAAGCGUUGUUCGGAAUUACUGGGCGUAAAGGGUGCGUAGGCGGCUUUCUAAGUCGGAUGUGAAAACUCUGGGCUCAACCCAGAGCCUGCAUCUGAAACUGGAGAGCUAGGGUUUGGAGGGGAAAGCGGAAUUCCAGGUGUAGCGGUGAAAUGCGUAGAUAUCUGGAGGAACACCGGUGGCGAAGGCGGGUCGCUGGGCAGUACUGACGCUGAGGAACGAAAGCUAGGGGAGCAAACAGGA